Molecule: ribosomal RNA, 398 nt
Filed under: Escherichia coli
Lineage: Bacteria; Pseudomonadati; Pseudomonadota; Gammaproteobacteria; Enterobacterales; Enterobacteriaceae
Description: partial 23S ribosomal RNA
Rfam family: Bacterial large subunit ribosomal RNA
Source: RNAcentral
AUAAUGGGUCAGCGACUUAUAUUCUGUAGCAAGGUUAACCGAAUAGGGGAGCCGAAGGGAAACCGAGUCUUAACUGGGCGUUAAGUUGCAGGGUAUAGACCCGAAACCCGGUGAUCUAGCCAUGGGCAGGUUGAAGGUUGGGUAACACUAACUGGAGGACCGAACCGACUAAUGUUGAAAAAUUAGCGGAUGACUUGUGGCUGGGGGUGAAAGGCCAAUCAAACCGGGAGAUAGCUGGUUCUCCCCGAAAGCUAUUUAGGUAGCGCCUCGUGAAUUCAUCUCCGGGGGUAGAGCACUGUUUCGGCAAGGGGGUCAUCCCGACUUACCAACCCGAUGCAAACUGCGAAUACCGGAGAAUGUUAUCACGGGAGACACACGGCGGGUGCUAACGUCCGUCG